Molecule: ribosomal RNA, 481 nt
Filed under: uncultured bacterium
Lineage: Bacteria
Description: partial 16S ribosomal RNA
Rfam family: Bacterial small subunit ribosomal RNA
Source: RNAcentral
GACGAACGCUGGCGGCGUGCUUAACACAUGCAAGUCGAACGGGAUCCGGGCUUUCGGGUUUGGUGAGAGUGGCGAACGGGUGAGUAACACGUGAGUAACCUGCCCCCUUCUUUGGGAUAACGUCGGGAAAUCGGCGCUAAUACUGGAUAUUCUUGCUGCAUCGCAUGGUGUGGUUUGGAAAGGGUUUCUGGUGGGGGAUGGGCUCGCGGCCUAUCAGCUUGUUGGUGGGGUGAUGGCCUACCAAGGCUUUGACGGGUAGCCGGCCUGAGAGGGUGUCCGGCCACACUGGGACUGAGACACGGCCCAGACUCCUACGGGAGGCAGCAGUGGGGAAUAUUGCACAAGGGGCGCAAGCCUGAUGCAGCGACGCCGCGUGAGGGAUGACGGCCUUCGGGUUGUAAACCUCUUUCAGUAUGGAACAAGGAUCCUUCUUGUGGGGGGUUUGAGGGUACGUGCAGAAGAAGCGCCGGCUAACUACGUG